Long non-coding RNA from Vigna radiata var. radiata (mung bean), 1803 nucleotides. RefSeq lists it as uncharacterized. Lineage: Eukaryota; Viridiplantae; Streptophyta; Magnoliopsida; Fabales; Fabaceae. The record is from RefSeq and is a predicted model, not a curated record. The transcript has 3 exons.
CUGAUUCUCUGAAACGCAACACCCUUUCUCUCUCUUGUUCCACAAACCCUAAAUUAAACACAAAAUCCCCUUCUCUUUGGUGCUCCAGAAACCCUAAAUCAAAAAGAGUGCGAGAUUGGUGUGGUGCACGAAGGCAAGAACUCGAAAACGAUUAUAGUGUGGUGAAAUUUGAGUAUCGUUUAUCGUAUUAAUGUGAGUGCGAUGAAUCCCUUUUUUUCUUUCAUAUUAUGUUUUGUUGUUUAAGUUAAACAGUGUAUUCAAUCUUUUUUAUUCUUUUGGAUGAGUCCUUUCAUACGAUGGGAAUAACUUGGUUUCUUCCUGUUGCUUUUGUUCCUGUAUAUAUUUUUGUGUAGACUAUGGAUCAUAAUAUUUUAAUGCUACAACAUUUUCUUUGUCUCCCUUGAUCCAUUUGUUCAAGGUGAUAUAGUUGUGUAUUUAGUUCAAGGUAACAUGGGUGUAUUCUGUUUGAGUGAUUUUGGGACUGGUUAGAGGAUUGAUAGUUGUGUGAGCCAAUUGUGGGUUGUGAGAUACUCAGAGGGCUAUUCUUGAUUUCAUAUUAUAGCUUGCAUAAAUAAAUUAUCUUUAUUCUGACAUUCACAUUGGCCUUCACUUGCCUCACUGCCUUCCAUUUAAGCGACAACAUGAUUUUAAAUCAAAUGGGGUGGGAAGAUGGUGAUCUUGAAAAAUUGAUUCAUAAUUCCUUUUUUUAGUUCCAAGCUGGUGUGAAGAUGGUGAUCCUGAAAAAUUGAUUCGAAAUUCCUUUUUUCAGUUCCAAGCCGAUUGUGCCAUUUCUGAUCUUAAGGAGUAUCUUUUGCCAUUUGAAGCACGAGAAAACACACUGAAGAAAAUGUUCGAAACUCUUUCUAGAUUUGCUGAGAAAGGACUGCUCCUUCUAGAUCACGAAGAAGACAUGAAGCUCAUCAUGAAAUUGCGAAAUCAACCCUCAUAAAACAUAACAGAGGAAGCAAGAACUCACCGCAAAGAUAAAGUCCAUUAAGAAAACAUUAAGAUCUUCUACUCCUUUAGCUUUCAAGGAUGAACUUAAAGCAAGAAAGAGACUUCUUUGGAGGCUCGGGUAAAGAAACUUAUUUAGUGCUUCAUUCUUUCCCCACCCUUUCUCUUUUUAAUUGUUAUGUUGCAAGACCUUGAAUCUUUGACUUGAAUAACGAUUAAUGUUCUGCUGGAAGCUCUUUGUAUGUCUUUUUUCUUCUGUUUCUCUUUAUUGGAUCAUUUCAGCCCCCUCCAUUCAUUUUGUGACAUUGAAAUAUAACUAUGUUGAUUUUUUUAAUUUAAUCCUAUUUUUUCUCUCGUUCUCCUCCUAGUUUCCUUCUUUAACUUAUUCAUUUCUCAUCUACCACAUGUUCGUCUAACAUCACUCGGGGUCAAUGAGGUGGUGUUAUCUGUGAAUGCUGUACUCAUUUCUUCCAUUUCUUCUCGAAAGAUANUUUUCUUUCACAUAUUUGUCAAGUCUUUCUGUUAACAAUUGUUGAGUUUCUUGUGUUUUCUUGAAUUUUUUUUUUCUGCUCACAUUCCCUCACUCCUUUAUACUCUAAUGCUCAUUUCAUGACAUCAAGGUUUUAUUCAAAACAUUACAUUCUUCAAAGUUUUUUUUUUGUUAUUUUUUUUUUCAAUUUCUUUCUUUUUUUCUAGAAUGAUAGUUUGGAUAAGAGAGAUGCAAGAAUGGGCAAAAGAAUUUCAUUUCUUUUUCUUGUUUCUUCACUUCUAAUUGUCUUUUUAUUUAUUAAUUUACUAUUAAACUUUCUUUUAAUUGUCUUCAGAAGUUUCUCUUUUGCAGAUAUUAGA